RNAcentral lists this transfer RNA (75 nucleotides) under Schistocerca americana (American grasshopper). Its description in RNAcentral is "tRNA-Thr". It matches the Rfam family "tRNA". From Rfam's summary of the family: Transfer RNA (tRNA) molecules are approximately 80 nucleotides in length. Their secondary structure includes four short double-helical elements and three loops (D, anti-codon, and T loops). Lineage: Eukaryota; Metazoa; Arthropoda; Insecta; Orthoptera; Acrididae. The record is from RNAcentral.
UCCUCGAUGGCUCAGAUGGAUAGAGCAUCUGCCUUGUAAGCAGGAGAUCCCGGGGCUCGAGUCCCGGUUGGGGCA